AUACCUUUAAUUGUUGCUUCGGCGGGACUUCGCGCCCGCCGGGGACCCAAACCUUCUGAAUUUUUUAAUAAGUAUCUUCUGAGUGGUUAAAAAAAAUGAAUCAAAACUUUCAACAACGGAUCUCUUGGUUCUGGCAUCGAUGAAGAACGCAGCGAAAUGCGAUAAGUAAUGUGAAUUGCAGAAUUCAGUGAAUCAUCGAAUCUUUGAACGCACAUUGCGCCCGUCAGUAUUCUGGCGGGCAUGCCUGUUCGAGCGUCAUUACGCCCCUCAAGUCCCCUGUGGACUUGGUGUUGGGGAUCGGCGAGGCUGGUUUUCCAGCACAGCCGUCCCUUAAAUUAAUUGGCGGUCUCGCCGUGGCCCUCCUCUGCGCAGUAGUAAAGCACUCGCAACAGGAGCCCGGCGCGGUCCACUGCCGUAAAACCCCCCAACUUUUUAUAGUUGACCUCGAAUCAGGUAGGACUACCCGCUGAACUUAAGCAU
This 480-nucleotide ribosomal RNA is filed under the name Metarhizium anisopliae. RNAcentral describes it as "eukaryotic LSU rRNA". The stretch from base 105 to 258 matches the Rfam family "5.8S ribosomal RNA". Lineage: Eukaryota; Fungi; Ascomycota; Sordariomycetes; Hypocreales; Clavicipitaceae. The record is from RNAcentral.